Molecule: ribosomal RNA, 253 nt
Filed under: uncultured bacterium
Lineage: Bacteria
Description: partial 16S ribosomal RNA
Rfam family: Bacterial small subunit ribosomal RNA
Source: RNAcentral
UACGAAGGGGGCUAGCGUUGCUCGGAAUCACUGGGCGUAAAGGGUGCGUAGGCGGGUCUUUAAGUCAGGGGUGAAAUCCUGGAGCUCAACUCCAGAACUGCCUUUGAUACUGAGGAUCUUGAGUCCGGGAGAGGUGAGUGGAACUGCGAGUGUAGAGGUGAAAUACGUAGAUAUCUGGAGGAACACCGGUGGCGAAGGCGGCGAUCUGGCCCAACAUUGACACUGAGACCCGAAAGCGUGGGGAUCAAACAGG